This 517-nucleotide long non-coding RNA is filed under the name Salvia miltiorrhiza (redroot sage). RNAcentral describes it as "long non-coding RNA (SMIL_LNC007059)". The record is from RNAcentral. Lineage: Eukaryota; Viridiplantae; Streptophyta; Magnoliopsida; Lamiales; Lamiaceae.
ACCCGAGCCAACCCAAAAAGAAGAAUCAUCCAAGGCUUUCUCAGAUUCUCAAGCCGUUCUCCCAGACCUCGCAAUCUACUGCCUUCCCAUCGCUCAGAAAGACAUGCUCCCACUUUUCCUCGCACAUAAGAUAACAAUCAAGAUUAGAAUUAUCAAAUUCGAACAAGAGAGUAUGGGGAAUAGCCUGCAUUUUUGGAUUUGCAUCACAACGACACAAGGACGGCGAAAAUCGAGGCCUGAACAUAAUUGGAGGAGGGGGAGCGCACUCACCUCUCUGUCCUCUAGCGUAGCCUUCAAUCUCUGAUGAGACGCUCCAGCACUCAUCUAUCUCCUAAGAUUCACGAUCCAACAUAGAGAAGAGAAAGAACAUAACCAGCGACAAUGAAUAAAGAGAGUGAACGUCCUCUGAAGCAGGAACCCAUUCAUUACUCCUUCUAAUCAUAUUUCAGACUCAUCACGAGAGAAGACAAAAGGAAGAUGAUGGGAGUGCAGAGUUUAGAUUAUCCCAAACACCGAC